RNAcentral lists this transfer RNA (83 nucleotides) under Candidatus Profftella armatura. It matches the Rfam family "tRNA". From Rfam's summary of the family: Transfer RNA (tRNA) molecules are approximately 80 nucleotides in length. Their secondary structure includes four short double-helical elements and three loops (D, anti-codon, and T loops). Lineage: Bacteria; Pseudomonadati; Pseudomonadota; Betaproteobacteria. The record is from Rfam by way of RNAcentral.
GCGGAUAUGGCGAAAUUGGUAGACGCGCUAGAUUUAGGGUCUAGUGCUAAAUAAGCGUAUGGGUUCAAAUCCCUUUAUCCGCA